CGGACGGGUGAGUAACACGUGGAUAACCUACCUAUAAGACUGGGAUAACUUCGGGAAACCGGAGCUAAUACCGGAUAAUAUAUUGAACCGCAUGGUUCAAUAGUGAAAGACGGUUUUGCUGUCACUUAUAGAUGGAUCCGCGCCGCAUUAGCUAGUUGGUAAGGUAACGGCUUACCAAGGCAACGAUGCGUAGCCGACCUGAGAGGGUGAUCGGCCACACUGGAACUGAGACACGGUCAAG
RNAcentral lists this ribosomal RNA (241 nucleotides) under uncultured Staphylococcus sp. RNAcentral's name for it is "partial 16S ribosomal RNA". It matches the Rfam family "Bacterial small subunit ribosomal RNA", at positions 99 to 334 of the family's 1533-position model. The record is from RNAcentral. Lineage: Bacteria; Bacillati; Bacillota; Bacilli; Caryophanales; Staphylococcaceae.